Molecule: long non-coding RNA, 2955 nt
Organism: Calidris pugnax (ruff)
Lineage: Eukaryota; Metazoa; Chordata; Aves; Charadriiformes; Scolopacidae
Exons: 2
Source: RefSeq, a predicted model, not a curated record
UUGACCCCCGUGAGGGCCCGUGAGGGGGUUGGGCCGCGGCCCUCGCCUGUCGCCAGCCUCCGGUCCCCACAGCCCGGCUGGGGCUGGCAGGCGCCGUCCUCGGGGGCAGAGCUAGGCGCGGGGAGGCCGCCUGGGCCCUGAGGAGGCCGCGCCGGUUGUGGGGCGGGGCCGCGCCCCAGGCCUCGGGGGGAGCAGCGUCCGGCACGGCCGGGGGCCCGGUACUCGGUAAAGGAUGAGGGACAAGACACGGCUGCGGCCGGAGAUGCAGCCGAGCUCUGGGCGCGCUGUUCCCCGGGGUCGUGGCCCCCGCUGAGCCGCCGGUAGAUUCCUAACGAGCUCCGUCGGCUGGCCGCGGGCAGCGCCGGUGGGCCUGUGGUAGGCGCCUUCCCUCAGACCAACUCCUCUCUUCCCGGCAAGCCCUGCUGGCAGCCACAUUCCUCUGUGCUUAGCAUACCGACGCAGCCUAAAAAUAGUUGCUGCUCCUCCUCAGUGGAAGGAAAAAUGGCUCUGGAGAGGCGGUAGGGAAGGGGCUGGAGAUGAGGCCGGGCAGGAAUCCUGGAGAGGAUGAAGUUCUGUUCAGAUGGCAGCUUACGGAGAAGGCCCGUGCAGAGGUUAGAAGGGUUCGAUGAAUUGAAAGCAGAAGGAAAAGGCCUGAGAUGAGCAGAAUUUGCUUCAAGUUGAAAGUGCUCUUGAUCUACUGUGUCGUUUUAAGCUCCUGACCCUUUGUGGCAAGCAUGGACAGAGCUACUUCAGUGACCACUCCUCUCCAUUGGAAGGGCAAAACAAUAUUCAAGGGAGGAUGUGACAUGGAGCUGCCCACAUCCUCUGAGAGACAGAAAAAGAGAGCGCUUGAGUAAAGAAUGAAGAAUGACAGAGAGGAAGACGGUCAGAAGCUUGGAGAUACAGUCCCUCAAAGGUUGGCAAGGCAUGUGCACCUCCUGGAGAUCACGGGCAAAGAUUGCCUUGUGAUCUCUUAAGUAUUUUUCAGUCUCUUUUCUUUUAAAUCCAUGUUGUUGGAUGUGACUUUUGCUAAAAACAACAAGGCGCAAAUGCCUUUCUCAGCAUGUCACAACUUUUUUGACCAACCCACAUAGACAAACUGGAGACCUUGAGAACAUACGCUUCCGUUCUGUAUAAACAGUUUAAAAUAGAUUUUAGCUUUGCACAGCAUUAUGUGCAGUUACUAUUUUUAAAUGCACACCAAUUAAUCCGAUGUGUUCAUUCCUUUUUUUGCAUGUGCCCUCCAUUCAUGCUUUUGAGUCUCGUAUAUGUUCAAGUCCCUAUCUUGUCAUGAAAACCAAUAUAUCUGUACACUUUUAAUUAAUUUAGAAUAAUCCAGAUGUCCCUCCUCUCCACCAUGGAAAAAAAUCCUUGUGCUAUGUUUUGCACAUUAAAACGUGCAGCAAUUGUGAUUAAAACCUCUCACGAACAUGCCAGCACUGUUGAUGACUUGCCUCUAGUCUCAAGGAGGGCAACACAUCCCUCCUUCUGUGCGGCUGCACGUCCCAGAGAUGACCUUAUGUUGAGGUGGCUCAAAGCAUCCACCAGCUCUGCUUGCUUCCUUCUUCAAGCCCACCUGCACACUUCCACCCUCCUACUAGCAAAUAUUUUAGUAGCUGCUUAUUGUACCUUGCAGAAGGGGCAGUUACUUCUCAUCCCCAGACAAACUCUCUCUCUGUCUUCCGGUCAUCCACCUCCAGAUUCCACUGCUGUCCUGGAGCUGCUAAGGAAGCUCUUCCUGCUGUCCAAAUAGCAUGUGAAAUCUUGCUGGGCAAGGGAGCAGAGGCCAAGGGUGCAUCCCAGAAUGACACAUCCCAGGACGAUGAUGCAGGGAGGGCUCACAGGAAAGGGCUCUGCAGCUGCAGGACGUUCCCCAUGGAAGGAGAGCAGCCCUGGACAUCCAAAGUGCCACACACACACCGCUGGUUUCCCCAGAUCUGCAGUGCUGGCUCAGCCCCAGCAGUCUGCUGCUUCAGGAAGAGAUCCAUGAGAAAUAUCGGCUGGAUUUCAGCUUCUUCCUUCUCAGGUGCCCUGUUACACUCACUUUGAAGUCCCUGUAUGACUUAAAGGCAGAAAUCCAAAGAGCCUGCUGCAAACUGAGCUGUGAGGAUUGCUCUGAUCGCCAGCGUUUCCUGCCAGCUGCUGACAGCGCUUUGAACAUAGUGAGGUCUGGCUCACAAACACUGGUGGAUAAAUAGGUCCUGGCAAGAGAAAUCAGGGGAAUGAUUUGGUUUGCACGAGGCCACUGGAUCCCUUUGCUUUCUGCAAAAGAUCCCAGAGUGCGGCAGCAGAGCGAUGUGCUACGGGAUGCAGGAGCAGAACAGAACACACAUUUCUGGAAGCAGCCAGCAAUGCCAAAAGACUGCAGCUAAGUAAAGGCAAAAGACACUACUUGGGGUGCAGUGAGGUGGAACGUACGUGCUGAUUGUCAGAAUUACUGCAGCUGAAGUUACCGUGGGUAUAUGAAGCCCACAGUCGUGUCUCAGCAGAUGCUCAUAAGUUUACCCUUAAGAGAGACUGCCACGGAUGGAGGAACGGAAAUCCCUUUUCCUGCUACAUGGCUGGUGUCUGAGCAGCAUAGGCAGAGGGCUCUAUAUUCACUCUGUCCUUUAGCCUGGCUUUUGCUUGAAAACUGCAGGAGAAAACCAAGGAGGAUGAAUUAUGCUGCUGUGAAAACACUCAGUGCACAUCUCUAAUCAGGCAAGACAGAAUAACACCUAAAGCAGAGUCCCAGAGCUGAAAAGAAACAAGAGCUGGUUAUGGCGUAACAUUAGGUACAGACUUUGCACAUUAGUAUUUACUAGGCUAGAAAAAUUUAAAACUCUCAUUUGAACUACCUGAUUGGGAAAAAAAAAACCCACAAACAUUUUAAUCUGACUGCUGGUCUGUAAAGCUAAUUUGAAAAAUUGUGCUGUUGCAACUUGGCUAAAAAAUUAUAAUGAAUUGAAGUGGAAA